AUCUCUGCAUUAGCUCUACACAGUAGAGUUAUCGUUCACAUUGAUAUGAGAUAUUCAGAUUAAAAUUGGGUGUGUGUGUGUUUUCUUUGCUUGUACAC
This is a long non-coding RNA of Salarias fasciatus (jewelled blenny), 98 nucleotides long. RefSeq lists it as uncharacterized. The transcript is spliced from 4 exons. The record is from RefSeq and is a predicted model, not a curated record. NCBI's taxonomy places the organism in Eukaryota, Metazoa, Chordata, Actinopteri, Blenniiformes, Blenniidae.